Loxodonta africana (African savanna elephant) is the source of this 11203-nucleotide long non-coding RNA. RefSeq lists it as uncharacterized. The record is from RefSeq and is a predicted model, not a curated record. NCBI's taxonomy places the organism in Eukaryota, Metazoa, Chordata, Mammalia, Proboscidea, Elephantidae. The transcript has 4 exons.
GAACAGUUCAGUGGAGACAUGUUCCUUAUCUGCAGGGGCUAGUGGAAUUGCUGAUAGCUGAGAAUGUAGCCUGCUCCCCAAGUGCGAGUUGGCAUUUUGGAGAGAAAACUUGAUAUUUGGAGCACUGACUGGCACUGCGUUUUCUAAAUAAUUAAGGGUGGUGGGGUGGUGGUGCGAGAAAGAGGAUGGUCUAUGAACACUGACCCUGGAAAAUUAACUCCCGAGUGUGUGGGUUGUGGAUAACAGGAAAAGAACAUCACCCGCAAAUGACAGCAGUGCCUUUAUUUAUUUAUUUAUGCUUCUUUUUAGUUCUGAGUUGUUUUUAAGCCACAAAUUAAUGGGGCCACCAUGAGUUUUCAGAGAAUGAGUUUUACAAAAAUCUAAGUGUUUUAAAUAUUGCAAGGAUUUACUUAUAUAUGCUGUAUAUGAGAAAAGUCCUUCCAGUUAUAGGGAGGAGAAAGAAAGUAUAUUCAGGAAUUAAAUUUUCACAGUUCUCUGAAUUCUUAUAUUUCUCUUGUUGUCCAUUUUUCUUUUUUUGUCCUUCAUCCACCCCUUCCACCUUGACCCACUGUCUUCAUCAUCUAGUGCUGCCGUAACAGAAAUACCAUGAGUGGAUGGCUUUAACCAAGAGAAAUGUAAUACCUCACAUUAAAGUAGGCUAAUAGUCCAAAUUCAAGGCAUCAGCUCUAGGGGAAAGCUUUCUCUCUCUUUCGGCUCUGGAAGAAGGUCCUUGUCCUUAGCCUUCCCAUGGUCAAGGAGCUUCUCAGGUGCAGGGACCCUGGGUCCAGAGGACAUGCUCUGCUCCUGGUGCUGCUUUCUUGAUAGUCUGAGGCCCCCAACUCUCCGCUUGCUUCCCUUUCCUUUUACCUCUUGCGAGAUAAAAGGUGGUGCAGGUCACACCACAGGGAAAGGUGACCUGAGUGAGGGUGGUGUUACAAUCCCACCCUAAUCCUCUUACAGUAAAAUUACAAUCACAAAAUGAAGGACAACUAGGCAAUAGUGGGAAUCAUGGCCUAACCAAGUUGAAACACACGUUUUUUAGGGUCAUAAUUUAAUCCAAACCAAAUCAAACUUGUCACCAUCAAGUUGAUUCCAACCCAUAGAGACCCUAGUUGAUAUUAACUCAUAGAGACCCUAUAGCAUAGAGUAGAACUACCUCAUAGAGUUUCCAAGGUCUAGUUGGUGGAUUCGAACUGCUGACCUUUUGGUUAGCAGCUGAGCUCUUAACCACUAUGCCACCAGGCCUCCUCUUGAUCCACAGUCCACCCUAAUUCACCACUGUGUUAGAAAAAGGCUUUGCUAUUCUGAAAUAAGAACUUUUUACUAUACUUUUGUGUUCGUGGUUGCUUUUGGUAUGUCUUUAAGCACUGAACAGUUAACUCAUACCCAUUAAAAACCCAUUGCCACUGAGUCUAUUCCAACUCAUAGCGGCCCAAUAGGGCAGAGCAGAACUGUGCCAUAGACUUUCCAAGGAGUGCCUGGUGGAUUUGAACUGAUGACCUUUUGGUUAGCAGCCAUAGCUCUUAAACAGUACACCACCAGUGUGGGAGGGGUUUAAUUGAUAACAUGAUGUCUGGGCUCCAAGGGAGAUGGAAUGGAUGUGCAGGAGAAGGGCAUGCAGAGUCAGCCUGUAUAGUCCCCUGAACUCUGUUCAAGAUCAUAACACACCUCAGUAAUCACUUGAAUCUAAACAUACAACUUUAACAGUUGAUAUAAAUGACUUUACACAUGAAUUUUGGAACGCAACUAUUUCUCAAUGGAAGUUUCUUCAACUAAGCUGUUUGUAUUCCCUUAAUAAUUGUGAAAGCUAACAUUUAUUGUGUUCAUUCUGUGUGUAAGGCCUUUUUCUAAGUGCCUUGUGUGUUUUCUUUAACCUGCGUAACAACCUUUUGAAUAAGACCCAUUUUAGAAAUGGGAAACUGAGGCAGUGAGAGGUAAAGUAACGUGCCCAGAUCAACCAGCUGAUAGAUUGAGUUAGGAUUUAAACCCAGGCAGUUUGUUUCAGAAUUUGCUUAUGUAAUCACUGUACAUGACAGCAGUGAGCCCUAGUGGCUGUGUGGCUAAAGAACUUGGCUGCUAACUGAAAGGUCAGUGGUUCGAACCCAACCGCCUCUCUGCAGGAGUCAGAUGUGGCAGUCUGCUUCAGUGAAGACUUACAGCCUUGGAAACCCUAUGUGGCAGUUUUACUCUGUCCUUUGGGGUCACUAUGAGUUAGAAUCGACUUGAUGACAGUGGGUUUUGGCACAUAAUACUAAUGUGCAGUGUAUUCUGUAUGCCGUGUAUAUGUUCAGAAACUAAUUUUCCGAACAUUUAUGCCAUAUAUAGAUUACCAAUCCAGUUGCCGUUGAGGAGAUUUUCACUCCUGAGGACCCCGUGAGUUUUCAGAGUAGGACUGCCCUCCAUACGGUUUUCAACAGCUGUGACCAUUUGGAGGUAGAUUGCCAGGCCUUUCUUCCAAGGCAACUCUGAGUGGAUUUAAACUGCCAACCUUUCAGUUAGUAGCUGAGCACUUAACUCUUUGUGCUACCUCAUACAUAUAUAUACUAGGAGGUUUUCCUCCUUAUUUGUACUUUAACGUUUUUUAGACUGUUAUGAAUACAUGUUCCUGGCAGUUAACUACAUGCUAAAGAACAGAAUAGGCACAUGUAACCCUCUCUCACCUUCUCCCUCCCCUCUUUCACAGAGAUGAAAUGAAAAGGAAUUAAUGAGGACAGAUUAUUGGAUUAGGGCCCAUACUCAGGGCUCUAACAGCAUGGGGAGUUUCUCCUGUCACUUCAGUUCUUGUUCAGGAAUUGGCACCUGCUUUUUGUGAAUCACAAAAACCAGUGCUUUAUAUCAAGCCAUUUAGAUUUGGGCUAUGGAGCAGUGACUUAAAAAAAUUAAAUUUUAUUUUCAGAGAUUUUUUCUAUUAAUUGUUUACAUUUAUUUUAAUUGUAUAUUCUGAAACCGCUACAAAAAGGCAUGAAAUAAUUGUUUAAAUUUUAAUUCGUAUGGGUCUAAAUGUAUGUUAAACUACCUAUCGUCGCCGUCACAGUCGUUGUUAUGUUUGAGCCGAUUGUUGUGGCCACUUGUUACCAAGUAUGACUUUCUUCUCCAGGGACCGAUCUUUCCUGACAACGUGUCCAAAAUAUGUGAGAUGAAGCCUCGUCAUUCUUGCUUCUAAGGAAUAUUCUGGCUGUACUUCUUUCAAGACAGAUUUGUUCAUUCUUUUGGCAGUCCGUGGUAUAUUCAAUAUUCUUUGCAAAUACCGUAAUUCAGUGCCUUCAAUUUUUCUUUAGUCUUCCUUAUUCAUUGCCCACCUUUCGUGUGCGUAUGAGGCGACUGAAAGCACCAUGGCUUGAGUCAGGUGCACAUUAGUUUUCAAGGUGACAUCUGUGCGUUUGAACACUUUAAGAGGCCUCUGGCAGCAGAUUUGCCCAAUGCAAUGUGUCGUUUGAUUUCUUGACUGCUGCUUCCAUGGGUGUUUAUUGUGGAUCCAAGUAAAAUGAAGCCCUUAGUGAUGUCAACAUUUUCUCCAUUGUCAUGAUGUUGCUUAUUGGUCCUGUUGUUAGGCUGUUGGUCUGUAGUCUUUGAUUUUCUUCAGUAAAUGCUUUAAGGCCUCUUCACUUUCAACAAGCGAGAUUGUAUCAUCUGCAUAUCUCAGGUUAUUAAUGAGUCUUCCUCCAAUCCUGACGCCUUAUUCUUCUUCAGACAGUCCAGCUUCUCGGAUUAUUUGCUCAGCAUACAGGUCGAAUAGGUAUGGUGAAAGGAUACAAUGGAGACGCAUACCUUUCUUGACUUUAAACCAUGCAGUAUUCCUUGUUCUAUUUAGAUGACUGCCUCUUUUUCUAUGUACAGGUUUCUCAUGAGAACAAUUAAGUGUCCUGGAAAUCUCAUUCUUUCCCAUGUUAUCCAUAAUUUGUUAUGAGCUGGAGUAGGUCUCAGAAAUAAUGUGCCAUUUCUUCCAGUUGGUUGUGCACGGCUGCCUACUUCCCUAGGUGGUAGCAGGUAAGGCCUGUCUCAGAAACACUCCCCUCCUCACUAAGCAUGAUUCUUCACACUGCUCCAUCUUCUUUCCCGUGUGUGUCUCCUGCCCUCCUCAGUGGCCGGGGAAAAUGAUAGUAGUCCACUAUGAGAUUUAUUCUUUUAUUAUACUUUAUUUUAUCAUUUGUUUUUAUAACAUAGUUCCGUUAAAAUCAAGGGUAAUAAAAAUGUUUGUGUGAUGGAAGUGGAUAAUCCCACCCAUUGUGUCCAUCUAAAGUUUCAUGAGAAAACUGUGCCCACAACAGAGGGCUCCCACUCCUCUGGCUCACUGUAUUUUCUCCUUGUUUAUUUGCUCUUCCCUCUUUCCUGAUGCAUGCAUGGGACCACUGAGCUUCAGGACUCCACAAUUCUCCUUUUCAUACCAGUGUUACUGUAAUCUUGGGUUCAUGGGCUGCCUUGCCACAGAUUUACUCAUUCUGUUUCUGUUAAUUAUUUCAUUACUUAAAAAUCUCUCAUGAAUUUUUCCAGAAGUACAUUCUAUUCCUCAAAAACUUGGAAGCAAUGGGAAAGUAUGCAAUAAAUAACAAGAAAACAUACGUAAUGCAUAGAAUAAAUUAUUAACGUUCCGAUAUGUCUGUUAUCUUACUUACAUUGGCAUGUAUGUGUAUUAGAGUCUCUGGUUGAUGCAAAUGGUUAAUAUCUUGAGCUGCUGACAGAAAGUUGGAGUUCAGGUCCACCCAGAAUUGCUGUGAAAGAGAGGUCUGGCAGCCUACUUCCGAAAACCCAAACACUGAAACCCCUAUGGAGUACAGUUCUACUCUGGCACACUGGUGUCAUCAUGAAUCAGAACUGACUCAGUGGCAACUGGUUUUAUGUGUGUAUUAGCACACACAUUUAUGUAUAUUAACACAGAUAUUAUAUCCUGAUAUUUUCGUUCAUCAUUAGUCUUUUCUCAUGAUAAAUUUUUUUUGUUUUUUUUUAAUGAGGGCAUUAAAUUACUUUAUAAUAUUCUGUGUGCAUGUAGUAUAUGUUUUUUAACGAUUUGACUAUAGUUGCAAUAAUAAAUGUGCAUGUUUCUAGUAAUCUUCAACCUAUACUUACAUCUUUUUAACAUACAUCUCUGCCAUUAAAUCUCUUUGUUUAAUUAUUGUUUAACACUCUUUACGCCUAAGAGAUGGUCUCAGAAGCAGCCCUGAUCAGUUUUUCUCCCUCUUACUCAUGAAGCCCCUUAAUGUAUCCCAAGGUAUCAACUACGAAGGAUUUUACGUACUUAUCGUUUGUUUAUUUUUCUUUCAGUCAGUAUAUUCCAUGGGCCAGAAAUAGUCUAUGUUAUGCAGAUACAGUGGUGAAAGGUACACACUGUCCCUGUCCUCAUGAAGGGGACAACCCAGUGCAGGUGGGAGGAGCACUGGGGAAAUGCAGCUGAGAGCAAGGACAGACAACCCUCCAGGAACCACACUGGACUUCAGAGAGGCUUGUUGGCUGCUGUUCACCUGGCAGGCUUCUAGAUACCCGAGUACCCUUGGGCUUGGUGCCUGCUCCUCUCUCUAUUGACACCCUCCCUCUAGGAUGCCUCAGUGAGUUCACUGCUGUCUAUUUGUAGCUAAGGACCUGAGGUUUAUACCUCCAUCCAUUCAAACUCCUCCUGGGUCCAGACUCAUAUAUUGAAAUGUCAGCCUAACUCUCUGUAUUGACCUCUUUAUGCAUUAUAAUGAUACAUUCCUCAUAUGGCCAUCAUGAAAAGCAAACAUGAAAGGAAAAGCACAGGAGUGCCUGGCACCAGUGUAGGUACUCAAUGAACAUUAGCUGUUGGUAUUAUCCUUGACAUCCCCGUGUGGGGUGAAGUUUUAUUACCUGACAUCUCCAUGUGAAUAUCUAACACCUACACCAUGUUAUCUAGGCUAUGAAACAAUUCUUUGUUCCAGCCACUAUUCUUUUCUUAUCCAUGAAUUUCUCAAGGCUUCGGUGAUGGGAUUGUGUGUUUUUCCACACAAUGGAUGUGAUUAGGAAUGGUUGGCCAGGUCCUACACAAUAAAUUGCUCCAGCGUUCCUUUGGGUGACCAUUGAGACAAGUUUCAGCCAACGAAUGUAGCAAAGAAUUGGAACCACUCUGAGCUGUUCAUGCGAGUACUCUCAAUCCAGAAUAUCUGGUAAAUCGACUGUUAGGGAUUGAAUUGUGUCCCUCCAAAAUGUAUGUGGAAAUCCUAACCCCUGUACCUGUAAAUCUGACCUUGUUAGGAAAGAGGGGGCCUGCUUUUAUUAUGUGAAUGAGGUCAUACCAAUGUAGGGUGGGUCCUAAGCCUAACUCUUCUUAGUUAUAAAAGGAGCAGAAUACACACAGACACAAACAGGUGAAAAGGAAGACAGACAAAGAAGACAGAUGCUUCUAGAAGGCCAGGAACACAAAUGAUUGCUGGCAUCUACUAGAAGCUGAGGUAGACAAGGAAGGACCUCCCACUACAGCCAUGCCCUGAAUUCGAACGACUACCUGCUAAACUGUGAGAAAAUAAAUUUCUGUUCUUUAAAGCCAUCCAGUUGUGUUAUUUUUUGUUAUGGAGGGACUAGGUAACUAACACACAUACCCGUUCUUAUAAGUUCAGCCCAGUGCAGAAUAAUUUUCUUCCCUCCUUGGUCUAGACCACCCGAACCUGCUCUUUCCCUAUCAGUGUCCUUUGCUUUCACCUAAGAGCUAUGACAGAGUCAGCUCGAUGGUGAUGCAUUGAAAUUUCAAUUUAUUUUUUAUUUAUGAUUACUAUUAAUUCCAGUAUUUUCUACAGUUUUCAAUGGAGACAGUCCUAUAAUCUAUGAAUAGCAGUUAUACUUUUUCUCUUUUUGUACUAGCUUACACUUCCAGUGUUCAAUGUUUAAUAAAAGUAAUGAUAGAAGCACCCUUAUUUUAUUGUUUAUUAAUUUUAAAGAGAAUGUCCCACACGUCACCAUGAACUAUCGUGCUAGUUGUAGUUUUCCAUGUUCGGGAACUCCUUUUCUGUUCCAUAUUUGCUCCUAGUCCUUAUCUCUCCGUGUGAUUGGAUUUUAUCAACCUGCUUUGCCCCCAUCUCUUGAGGUGAGCAUAUGUCUUCUCUUCUUUCACCUAUGCAUGUGGUGAAUGAAAUUACUAAAUCUUUAACGUUCACUCAAAUUUGUAUGCCUACAAUAAAACGCCUUGAUCAUGGCAUGUUACGUGGUUUAUCCUUUGUUGGAUUUCCUUUGCUGGCAUCUUACAUAGGGUUUUGCAUCUCAGUUACUGAGUGUGCUUGUCCUCUAACUCUUCUUCUACCAUCCUUCUCUAAUUUGUUAUCAUUUUUAAACUAGCCUUAAGGAUCAAGUUAGGGGAGUAUCUCAUGGUUUUCUAAUCUCUGUUGACUAUGUACAAGAUUAAAAUGACUGUUUCUUGCAUGUUUGCUGGAACCUGACUGGAAACGAUCUAGGUCUGCCGUUUUCUUUGUAGGGAGAUCUUGAACUACUGACCCAUUUUAUUUAGUGGUUAAAGGCAUCUUCUGGUGCUAAUUUACUUAGAAAAAAUUCUGAUGCAUGUUCUAGGUUGCUCGAAUCUCAUCUUCAAAUAUUGAUUAUCAGGGCUUGUAGCCUCAUGGAAGGCAAUUCAUCAAUCCCAGAUUUCCCCAAAGUCAGGCUCUGCAACUCUUCCCGGUACCAAAUUCCCUCAUUUAAGACUUAUUUGCAAAGAGACAACAGUAUGCUAUCUGCGCAGUUGUUUAUCCACAACCUUCUUGAGUCCAUAAUGUGAGGAUAUAGUCUUCUAAUACUUUUUUUGUAAUUGUUCUCUUUCUUAUUUUUUUUUUUUCCUUUUUUCACUGCCAAUACCCCUGCCCCCCGCCAGUCUAGUAGUUUUAAAGUUGUGCGUUUCAGGUUCAAGUCUGUAAUCCAACUGAGCUUCUGUGUGUGCUGCAUGUGUGCAUCAAAAGAACACGCUUCUAGAAGCAGAAAGCAGGCAGUGCGACUGUUGGGUGGUUGGCGGGGGAGGGGGAGGGGAGCUGCUGCUCAGAGAGGGCGCCCGAGGGAGGCAGGAGAUGCCGGGCUGCCGGCCGCAAGCCUGCAGGCUCCAAGGAGGCGGAACCCGCGUGCGCCAUGAGCCUUUUGAGACAGGCCCAAGCCCACCCAGCCGGGUGCUAACCUCGCAUCCGCCAGGCUUGCAGGUUCCACCAGGACUAGGGGAAGCCUAAGGCCAAGGAGGGCAAGGUCUAGGGUCUGGACCUGAGAACUGGUUCUGCCACUUGUGAUCGCAGCGCUUAUGCUGGAAAGGAGGGCAGGAAGCAUAUCGCAACGUGUGUCCGGACGAUGACCCAGAAGGGGGGAGUUGUGGUCACCCACGGACUCUGGGUCUGCAUAUGGAGGCCCCCAGGGUGCAAUUCCAGGAGCAGAAGGCAAAGCCACAGAGGCCAAAGUGCACCUCGCCGAUGCUUCCCAGGGGCAUUUCCCCAAAUAUGGGGAGCAGUCCCUCCUCUGGGCUAGGGACUUUGUUUCCUCCAUUGUCAUCACUGACUGUGAGCAGACUCUAGUCUAUGCAGACUAAUGAGGAGUUAUCAAAAUGAGCUCCAAACUCCGGAUUUGAGUUAAGGAUCAUAAAUUAACACAGAGAAAUACGACUUUAGCAAUAAGUGACUGUUUGAAGCCCAAGUUGCCUUAAAACACGGAAUUUCAGUCUUUCAGCUCCUCUGCUAAUCUAGUGACUAAGAACAGGAUCUCACUGGAGCUCAAAGAUGUGGGGCACUGGGAAUACUCUGGGUCUGUCUGCUCACGGCUGAUUGCCUGAUCCCAGUUUUAUUAUACAGCUUAAAUACAGACCAGAAGAGGAGUUUGGGGCUUGACACCUGACAUCUUAACACCAGUUCCUGUUUCUUGAGGAAGGAAGAGGUAAAAUAAAUCAGCAUUUACUGUGUCCUUCUCCAUCCCCGGAAGUCUUCAUGAAGACCCUCUCAGCUUCUACUUGAACGUGAAUAUGAGCAACUGAUCAUCUGUUCUGCAGUCAGCCCCUGGCCUGAUUCUGACUCAUGGUAUUGACCUUCUCCAUCAUCACCUUCCACAAAUUUGAUUCCUAUCUAUUCUGCCUGGAAUGGUUCACGAGUAUAGUCACCAUUUAUGUUCCUGACGAAAGCAGGUGAAGGCAUUCGUGGAGAGAGGCGAUUUCCAUGCGUGCAGCAAAGUGUGUGCUGAGAUGAUGAGUCGCUGGAGACCGGGGUGGACUCUUCAGACCCAGGAUAGGCCUCUGGCAGGCACUCUAUCAGGCACUCCAAGCUGUGAAGUGACUCAGGGAGAGAAGGAAGAGAUUUCAGAGAAUGAACACAUACAGAGAGAGAGGCAAGAGAUGCUGAGUGAGGAUGUCUUGCGUACUGAUAUCCUGAGGAAAGUGGGAAAAUUGGACCCUGGCCUGCUCUGCCAAUGCCGUGAAGCAGUCCGCACCAGGGGCUCCCUUGUGCCUGCGUAGCCUUUCCCAGGGUGUGCUCAAAUCCUGUGGCCACUAGGUGUCCUAGGUCACAAUGGAGGACCCUGUGUCAUCUGCCUGGUGGACUGGAUCUCUGCCAUUGGCUGAGUCUUGUCACCAGGCCCAUCAUAAGCUCUGCCCACUCUUCCGGUGGGGAGACUCUCUCCAUGGUGAUGGCAAAGAAACCUUAGUCCCGCCCACCUGGCCUUGACUUCACCUACCUGGCCUGCUGACCCUCACUCAGACCUCUGUGUCGAUCAAAAUGAAUGUUCACCAGUUGCCCGGUGUCAGCAUCUGGUAUAAAGAAUUCGGGACCUUGCCUGAGGCAGAAGGCAGCCUAGGUCUGCGGGUACCUGGAAGUCUAGUGACUUGUGACGCUGCUGCCAGUGAGAAAUGGUGACUCCCAUACUCACAUAUCCCCUGGUGGCAGAAUGAUAGUGAUGGGUGGAGAAACAUGGUUCCGGAGCACACGUUCAGUCGGGCACCGGCCAAAUGCCACGGCCAGGAGUGGACGUUGUGGAGCUGCAUGGCGAGCCAGUGAAGGGCCCAAGGAUUUCUCCAAUGAGGCAAAAUGCAGAUCAAGCCAAGGAACAUAAAGAUAAAGCAGCUGAAGAAAUUAAAAAGGUUACUCAAGAACAUAGUUAAAAAUUUAAUAAGCUCCAAGAAACCAUAGAGAGACUGCAAUCAGAGAUUCAGAAGAUUAACAAUAAAAUUACAGAGUUAGAAAACUCAAUAGAAAGUAAGAAGAGCACAACUGAGGAAUUGGAAGGCAGAAUUACUGAGAUUGAAGGUGAAACUCUUGGGACUAAUAUAUUUGAAGAGAAAGCAGAUAAAAGAAAUUUAAAUGAAGAAAUCCAAAGAAUCAUAUGGGACUUUAUCAAGAGAAAUAACUAUGAGUGAUUUCAGUACCAGAACAGGGAGGGCUAACAGAAAAUACAAAGGGAACUGUUGAAGAUUUGUUGGCAGAAAACUUCCAUGAUAUCAUGAAAGAUGCUCAUCGAAUUCCACAUAAGGUAGAUCUCAAAAGAAAGUGACCGAGACACAUAAUAAUCAAACUUGCCAAAAUCAAAUAUAAAGAGAAUUUUAAGAGAGGCUAGGGAUAAAGGAAGUCACCAACAAAGGAGAGUAAAUAAUAAAAAACUUGGACUACUCAGCAGAAAUCAUGCAGGCAAGAAGGCAAAGGGAUGACUUACACAAAAUAUUGAAGGAAAAAAAUUGCCAGCCAGGAAUCAAACCAUAACCCUGGCCCUCUGGCCUUCGGGCCCUCUGGCCUUAGCCCUCUAACUCUAGCCCCUAAGCCCUGAGCCCCAAAGCCCCUAAGACCCUAAGCCCUUAGGUCCUAACCCCCAAGGCCCUAAACCCUAACCCUAACCCAAACCCUAACCCCUAUAGCCUAAACUCUACAACCUAAACACCUACACCCCAAAACACUACACAUCAAAACCCUACACACUAAACCCUAUACUCUAAGCCUCAAACCCUAAACCCAAACCUCAAAUUCCAAACCCUAAACCUAACCGUAAACCCUAAACCCUAACACCUAACCCUAACCCCUAACCACCCUAACCCUAAUGACCCUAACCCUAACCCUCGAACCCUAACCCUCUAACGCUAACAUGAAACCCUAAUCCGAAACCCUAACCCUCUAACUCUAACCUCUAACCCUCUAACCCUAGCCCUAAUCCUAACCCCAACCUCCAAACCUAACCCCAAACCCUAAACCUCAAAUCCCUAGCCCUAAACCUAAGAAUGAGCCUAAGCCUAACCCUAUCACUUAACUCUAAACCCUAAACCAUAACA